This 1088-nucleotide ribosomal RNA is filed under the name marine bacterium HB-7. Its description in RNAcentral is "bacterial SSU rRNA". It matches the Rfam family "Bacterial small subunit ribosomal RNA", at positions 378 to 1465 of the family's 1533-position model. The record is from RNAcentral.
GAGUCCUGACGGAGCACGCCGCGUGAGUGAUGAAGGUUUUCGGAUCGUAAAGCUCUGUUGUUAGGGAAGAACAAGUGCAAGAGUAACUGCUUGCACCUUGACGGUACCUAACCAGAAAGCCACGGCUAACUACGUGCCAGCAGCCGCGGUAAUACGUAGGUGGCAAGCGUUGUCCGGAAUUAUUGGGCGUAAAGGGCUCGCAGGCGGUUUCUUAAGUCUGAUGUGAAAGCCCCCGGCUCAACCGGGGAGGGUCAUUGGAAACUGGGAAACUUGAGUGCAGAAGAGGAGAGUGGAAUUCCACGUGUAGCGGUGAAAUGCGUAGAGAUGUGGAGGAACACCAGUGGCGAAGGCGACUCUCUGGUCUGUAACUGACGCUGAGGAGCGAAAGCGUGGGGAGCGAACAGGAUUAGAUACCCUGGUAGUCCACGCCGUAAACGAUGAGUGCUAAGUGUUAGGGGGUUUCCGCCCCUUAGUGCUGCAGCUAACGCAUUAAGCACUCCGCCUGGGGAGUACGGUCGCAAGACUGAAACUCAAAGGAAUUGACGGGGGCCCGCACAAGCGGUGGAGCAUGUGGUUUAAUUCGAAGCAACGCGAAGAACCUUACCAGGUCUUGACAUCCUCUGACAACCCUAGAGAUAGGGCUUUCCCUUCGGGGACAGAGUGACAGGUGGUGCAUGGUUGUCGUCAGCUCGUGUCGUGAGAUGUUGGGUUAAGUCCCGCAACGAGCGCAACCCUUGAUCUUAGUUGCCAGCAUUUAGUUGGGCACUCUAAGGUGACUGCCGGUGACAAACCGGAGGAAGGUGGGGAUGACGUCAAAUCAUCAUGCCCCUUAUGACCUGGGCUACACACGUGCUACAAUGGACAGAACAAAGGGCUGCGAGACCGCAAGGUUUAGCCAAUCCCACAAAUCUGUUCUCAGUUCGGAUCGCAGUCUGCAACUCGACUGCGUGAAGCUGGAAUCGCUAGUAAUCGCGGAUCAGCAUGCCGCGUGAAUACGUUCCCGGGCCUUGUACACACGUCCGUCACACCACGAGAGUUGCAACACCCGAAGUCGUGAGUAACUUUAUGGAGCCAGCCGCCGAAGGUGG